GACGAACGCUGGCGGCGUGCCUAAUACAUGCAAGUGGGACGCAAGGAACCACACUGUGCUUGCACACCGUGUUUUCUUGAGUCGCGAACGGGUGAGUAACGCGUAGGUAACCUGCCUAUUAGCGGGGGAUAACUAUUGGAAACGAUAGCUAAUACCGCAUAAUAUUAAUUAUUGCAUGAUAAUUGAUUGAAAGAUGCAAGCGCAUCACUAGUAGAUGGACCUGCGUUGUAUUAGCUAGUUGGUAAGGUAAGAGCUUACCAAGGCGACGAUACAUAGCCGACCGGAGAGGGUGAUCGGCCACACUGGGACUGAGACACGGCCCAGACUGCUACGGGAGGCAGCAGGAGUGAAUCUUCGGCAAGGGACGAAAGUCUGACCGAGCAACGCCGCGUGAGUGAAGAAGGUUUUCGGAUCGUAAAGCUCUGUUGUAAGUCAAGAACGUGUGUGAGAGUGGAAAGUUCACACAGUGACGGUAGCUUACCAGAAAGGGACGGCUAACUACGUG
This 505-nucleotide ribosomal RNA is filed under the name uncultured bacterium. RNAcentral describes it as "partial 16S ribosomal RNA". It matches the Rfam family "Bacterial small subunit ribosomal RNA", at positions 28 to 507 of the family's 1533-position model. The record is from RNAcentral.